AAGAUAUUUGGUGAAGCAAUAUUCAGUCUCUCUAUCGACCCUGCCUGGCCCCAAAUGCAGGCAGACACCAGAGCAGUCUUGCUUACAUUUAAUGCAGAAACAUUUGCAGGUUUUCUCAAGAGUUGAGAGGGAUCUUCAAAUAUAUAGAAGAAAAAACAGCCUUCUGGAGAGCUUGAAACGCUGGGCUCUGAACCUGUGGUUCUUGCUGAAAUCACAUAACACCUUGAAGAUGACUAAACUGAGACUCUUGUGCUUUGGAUGUAUCUUGCAAAAAUAUUACUUGCUUGAAAAGAAAAUAAGGGAGAUUAGACUGGCCCCAACCCUGUCUGCCUUUAUCAAACAGCUGAAGACAUGGCUCUGCCAGCAUGCGUUUGAAUAACCACCAAUCUGAUAGACCCCUAUCACUGAUGCAUACUUUCUAUCACUUUACUUCCUUCCUAUUUAUCCUACCCUACAUUAUCCCAGCCGACUCUCUGACACUUGUCUAUGCACUUUAUCAAAAGCCUUUGAAAUUGUGUAUUUUCUUAUGCUUGACCCUUUUUAUCCAUAGUGAUGAUGUUUGUAUUAUUACCUCAAUUUGCUUGAUCAUUCUAUGUUUUAUUGUAUGUUAUGUUUUAACCAAUUAUUUUACUUGAUUGUUGUACUAUUAUUUUUAGUUAUUGAUACGUGUUUAAAAUUGUUAUACUUUGCUUCUGUGUUGGGUUCAGCCCCAUGUUAACCGCCCUGAGAUGGUGGUGGGAUAGAAAAAUAAAGUAUUAUUAUUAUUAUUAUUAUUAUUAUUAUUAUUAUUAUUAUUAUUAUUCUGCUUUGGUCAGACCUCACCCAAAA
This 828-nucleotide long non-coding RNA is filed under the name Anolis carolinensis (green anole). RNAcentral describes it as "lncRNA (ENSACAG00000034949.1)". Lineage: Eukaryota; Metazoa; Chordata; Lepidosauria; Squamata; Anolidae. The record is from RNAcentral.